This 497-nucleotide ribosomal RNA is filed under the name uncultured bacterium. RNAcentral's name for it is "partial 16S ribosomal RNA". It matches the Rfam family "Bacterial small subunit ribosomal RNA", at positions 28 to 507 of the family's 1533-position model. The record is from RNAcentral.
GAUGAACGCUGGCGGCGUGCCUAAUACAUGCAAGUCGAGCGAACGGACGAGAAGCUUGCUUCUCUGAUGUUAGCGGCGGACGGGUGAGUAACACGUGGAUAACCUACCUAUAAGACUGGGAUAACUUCGGGAAACCGGAGCUAAUACCGGAUAAUAUUUUGAACCGCAUGGUUCAAAAGUGAAAGACGGUCUUGCUGUCACUUAUAGAUGGAUCCGCGCUGCAUUAGCUAGUUGGUAAGGUAACGGCUUACCAAGGCAACGAUGCAUAGCCGACCUGAGAGAGUGAUCGGCCACACUGGAACUGAGACACGGUCCAGACUCCUACGGGAGGCAGCAGUAGGGCAUCUUCCGCAAUGGGCGAAAUCCUGACGGAGCAACGCUGCGUGAGUGAUGAAGGUCUUCGGAUCGUAAAACUCUGUUAUUAGGGAAGAACAUAUGUGUAAGUAACUGUGCACAUCUUGACGGUACCUACUCAGAAAGCCCCGGCUAACUACGUG